Molecule: ribosomal RNA, 417 nt
Filed under: uncultured microorganism
Description: bacterial SSU rRNA
Rfam family: Bacterial small subunit ribosomal RNA
Source: RNAcentral
GAGUUUGAUCAUGGCUCAGGACGAACGCUGGCGGCGUGCCUAAUACAUGCAAGUCGAGCGAAUCACCGGGAGCUUGCUCUCGGCGAUUAGCGGCGGACGGGUGAGUAACACGUGGGCAACCUGCCUGUAAGACUGGGAUAACUUCGGGAAACCGGAGCUAAUACCGGAUCAAUCUUUUCCUCGCAUGAGGAAAAGCUAAAAGACGGUUUCGGCUGUCACUUACAGAUGGGCCCGCGGCGCAUUAGCUAGUUGGUGAGGUAACGGCUCACCAAGGCGACGAUGCGUAGCCGACCUGAGAGGGUGAUCGGCCACACUGGGACUGAGACACGGCCCAGACUCCUACGGGAGGCAGCAGUAGGGAAUCUUCCGCAAUGGACGAAAGUCUGACGGAGCAACGCCGCGUGAGUGAUGAAGGCC